Molecule: ribosomal RNA, 449 nt
Filed under: uncultured bacterium
Lineage: Bacteria
Description: bacterial SSU rRNA
Rfam family: Bacterial small subunit ribosomal RNA
Source: RNAcentral
UCCAGACUCCUACGGGAGGCAGCAGUGGGGGAUAUUGCACAAUGGGGGAAACCCUGAUGCAGCGACGCCGCGUGUGGGAAGACGGUCCUCUGGAUUGUAAACCACUGUCCCCAGGGACGAAGAUGACGGUACCUGGGGAGGAAGCUCCGGCUAACUACGUGCCAGUAGCCGCGGUAAUACGUAGGGAGCGAGCGUUGUCCGGAUUUACUGGGUGUAAAGGGAGCGUAGACGGCCAGACAAGUCUGAAGUGAAAAUCCAGCGCUUAACGUUGGAAGUGCUUUGGAAACUGCCGGGCUGGAGUGCAGGAGGGGCAGGCGGAAUUCCUAGUGUAGCGGUGAAAUGCGUAGAUAUUAGGAGGAACACCAGUGGCGAAGGCGGCCUGCUGGACUGCAACUGACGUUGAGGCUCGAAGGCGUGGGGAGCAAACAGGAUUAGAUACCCCCGUAGUU